This 253-nucleotide ribosomal RNA is filed under the name uncultured bacterium. Its description in RNAcentral is "partial 16S ribosomal RNA". It matches the Rfam family "Bacterial small subunit ribosomal RNA", at positions 524 to 776 of the family's 1533-position model. The record is from RNAcentral.
UACGUAGGUGGCAAGCGUUGUCCGGAUUUAUUGGGCUUAAAGGGUGCGUAGGCGGUCUAUUAAGUCAGUGCUGAAAUAUCCCGGCUUAACCGGGAGGGUGGCAUUGAUACUGAUGGACUUGAGUGCAGUCGAGGUAGGCGGAAUUGACGGUGUAGCGGUGAAAUGCUUAGAUAUCGUCAAGAACACCGAUAGUGAAGACAGCUUACUAGACUGUAACUGACGCUGAGGCACGAAAGUGUGGGGAGCAAACAGG